Vespula pensylvanica (western yellowjacket) is the source of this 2424-nucleotide long non-coding RNA. RefSeq lists it as uncharacterized. The transcript has 2 exons. Lineage: Eukaryota; Metazoa; Arthropoda; Insecta; Hymenoptera; Vespidae. The record is from RefSeq and is a predicted model, not a curated record.
UAUGUUUAUAUACACACACAUAUAUAUAAAUAUAUAUAUAUAUGUGUAUAUAUAUCACAAUAUUUUGAAUCAGUUUAAAAAUCAGAUUGGUGCUGAUAAAUAAGUAAGCAAAACGAAAGAGGAGGGAACGUGGAAGAAGGCUGAGACAUCGUAGAAGUAGCGCAAAAUAGGGGAUAGUCGAUAGAAGUAGAUCGUCGAAAUAUAUAUAUAUAUAUAUAUAUAUAUAUAUAUAUAUAUGUAUGUAUGUAUGUAUAUAUAUGUAUGUAUAUAUAUUAUAAACACUUCUACAUAUUUACGUGCAUACUGUGCAUAUGCAAGUAUAUACACAACACACAAUACACAUAGACAAACAGAUAACGCGUAAACAUGAAAAGACUAAAUUAAAAAAAAAGGUGUCCCAUAAAAGUCCACACAUCAUCGGGGAUGUUUAGAAAAAAAAAAAAAAAAUAUACGAAUCCACCACCACUUCUACCACCACCACCACCACCACCACUACCACUACCACCACCACCACCACCACCACCACCGGUAUAACAUUUCAUGGCAAUACUUAAAAUGAAAAUUUCAACGUACUAGAGAAUAGUCUUUUAAAUUUCUAAUUAAGACGUGUGAUCUCUCUAAUUAGUGUACUAUAUAUAUAUAUAUAUAACAUAUACAUAUAUAUAUAAUAUCUAUAUAUAUAUAUAAUAAUAAUAAUAAUGAUAUAUCUAUAUCUAGAUAACUCGAGAUGCAUAAGUAUAAUUACGAUUACGUAUAUUAGGCGUUCGACAGUUAGUCUUUUAUCAUUUAGACACAGAGAUCUGAAGAUGAUAAUUGUGCGGCCAUAUUCUCUGUGGCCUGUUCGUAGUGCCUCGGAAUUGCUGCUCGCGGCAGUGAUUUGACCGUAUUUUAGGAUGGUGUAUUAUAAUUAUAUUAUGAACUAUAAUUAUAUCGAUACUCUCUGAUACAGUACUAAAAACAAACAAAUAAACAAACAAACAAACAAACAAACAAACAAACAAGCAAGCAAAACAAGCAAACAAACAAAAUUAAUAAGAAAAGAGAAGGAAAAAAAUAUCGUGAGACGUCACGUUAAUAAACGACUCAUUAAAUUAUUAGAAUCUACCUAUGUAUGAGUAUAUCGCGCGUAAAUGUGCAAGAGCACCGAAACCGCAAUACAUUAAAUGCACACAUACACACUAAUACACACAUACAGAUACACGUCAGGUGUACACUUACACGUUAAAAGGGAGGUGUAGAGAGCAAGAGAGAGAGAGAGAGAGAGAGAGAGAGAGAGAGAGAGAGAGAGAGAGAGAGAGAGAGAGAGAGAGAGAGAGAGAGAGAAGCAAAAAAGAGAGGGAAAAAAGGUAAAGAGGAAGAAUGAGAAAAGAUGAAUAUGGGGGUUUAGAGAUGUGAGAAGUGGGAGGAAGGGGAGAAGCAAACACUAGUGUAUAUAUACAGGACCACACGGUACCACAGAUUCGUUAAUUUUUACAGUGUGACAAACACGAGCGUUCUUUAUAUAUUAUAUAUACAUAUAUAUAUAUAUAUUAUAUAUAGAAAUAAAAUGGCGAGGAGAGAUAUGGGAUUCGCUGCUCUGUCCUCUUGUUGACGCGCCCGACGGACCGCAACCGUUUGUGUUGUGCUCAUCGAUGAUAUAUAUAUACAUACAUAUUAUACAUAAGCGAGCUACGCGAACGCUGUCGUCUCUCAGGCGCACGAGCGGGAAGUGCAUAGUGUUUUUAAAAGACAAAAUAAAUGAAAAAUAAAUAAAAAAAAAAAAGAUAAAAAAAAUUUAAAAAAAAAAAUAAAAUAAAAUAUCUAAGUAUAAAAUAAUUGCAGCAAAACGAUAAAGUAUGUGUCCCAAGAUAAAAAAAACCCCCCGGAGCCCUUGUUGAUAUACGCCACCACGUUGAAUGACGAUAUCUUAUUUGUUACAGAGAGCAGUAAAAUACCACAAGCGAAACCGUUUUUAAAAUACAUUUGUUAUACAUGCAUAUUGUUAUCAUUACCACAUAAAAACAGAGAAGCAAUUAUUAACUCCAUAGCCUGGGCCAUUGUUAAGAUGAAGCGGCACGAGGUUUAAUAUCGCUCCUUGAAACUGGGUUGACCUUAUUUUCUUUUCGAUUUUUUCCUUUCUUUUCCCUUUCCCUUUUUUCUAUUUUUUCCCCCUCUCUUUUUCUCUUUUCUUUUCCUCUUUUUUUCAUUUCAUCCACAGACAACGUAACUCAUAUUCCUUGCCGUAUUAAAAAUUUUUCCAUCGUAAAUCUCAUUGAAAAUAUAACGUUGAUUAUUCUAAGUAUAUCCAUUUGAUUUACAGUCGUUAACAAUCUUCUUUUGUUGUAUUAUCUUUCAUCGGUUAGAACCCAGUAUCAAGAAGAGAAAUAUACAAAACAUGAGAGAGAGAGAGAGAGAGAGAGAGAGAGAGAGAGAGAGAGAGAGAAA